Molecule: ribosomal RNA, 468 nt
Filed under: uncultured bacterium
Lineage: Bacteria
Description: partial 16S ribosomal RNA
Rfam family: Bacterial small subunit ribosomal RNA
Source: RNAcentral
GACGAACGCUGGCGGCGUGCUUAACACAUGCAAGUCGAACGGAAAGGCCCUGCUUUUGUGGGGUGCUCGAGUGGCGAACGGGUGAGUAACACGUGAGUAACCUGCCCUUGACUUUGGGAUAACUUCAGGAAACUGGGGCUAAUACCGGAUAGGAGCUCCUGCUGCAUGGUGGGGGUUGGAAAGUUUCGGCGGUUGGGGAUGGACUCGCGGCUUAUCAGCUUGUUGGUGGGGUAGUGGCUUACCAAGGCUUUGACGGGUAGCCGGCCUGAGAGGGUGACCGGCCACAUUGGGACUGAGAUACGGCCCAGACCCCUACGGGAGGCAGCAGUGUGGAAUAUUGCACAAUGGGCGGAAGCCUGAUGCAGCAACGCCGCGUGCGGGAUGACGGCCUUCGGGUUGUAAACCGCUUUCGCCUGUGACGAAGCGUGAGUGACGGUAAUGGGUAAAGAAGCACCGGCUAACUACGUG